GCACAGCUCGGCUUGUGUGCUUUCAGGGCAGGGCUUGUCGUGGAGGCACAUGGCUGCUUAUCUGAGCUGUAUACGGCUGGAAGAGUGAAAGAGUUGCUUGCACAAGGUGUAUCACAAAACCGGUACCAUGAGAAGACCCCAGAACAGGAGAAACUGGAGAGGAGAAGGCAGAUGCCAUACCAUAUGCACAUAAAUCUCGAGCUCCUCGAAGCCACACAUCUCAUCUGUGCCAUGCUCCUCGAAGUCCCCUACAUGGCCUCCAACUCCCAUGAGGCCAAGCGCAAGGUCAUCAGCAAGACAUUUCGACGGCUCCUCGAGAUGAGCGAAAGGCAGACAUUUAUUGGCCCUCCCGAAAAUGUCAGAGACCAUGUCAUGGCCGCGACGAGAGCCCUCAGCAAGGGCGAUUAUCAAAAAGCUUUUGAGGUGAUUAGCUCCCUCGACAUCUGGAAGCUGUUAAGGAGCAAGGAGAGAGUCCUCGAUAUGCUCAAGACGAAGUUCAAGGAAGAGGCAUUGAGGACCUACCUCUUUGCGUUUGUGUCGUGCUACGACUCCCUCAGCUUGGACCAGCUUACUACGAUGUUUGACCUGACGGAGGCGCAAGCCCACAGUAUUGUGAGCAAGAUGAUAAUCAUGGAGGAACUGAGUGCAAGCUGGGACCAGCCGACGAAGUGCG
Molecule: unclassified non-coding RNA, 673 nt
Filed under: Hevea brasiliensis (rubber tree)
Lineage: Eukaryota; Viridiplantae; Streptophyta; Magnoliopsida; Malpighiales; Euphorbiaceae
Source: RNAcentral